GCCGUGUUCGUCUAAGGGUUAGGACACCACCCUUUCACGGUGGUGAUACGGGUUCGAAUCCCGUACAUGGUA
This 72-nucleotide transfer RNA is filed under the name Chitinophagaceae bacterium. Its description in RNAcentral is "tRNA-Glu". It matches the Rfam family "tRNA". From Rfam's summary of the family: Transfer RNA (tRNA) molecules are approximately 80 nucleotides in length. Their secondary structure includes four short double-helical elements and three loops (D, anti-codon, and T loops). The record is from RNAcentral. Lineage: Bacteria; Pseudomonadati; Bacteroidota; Chitinophagia; Chitinophagales; Chitinophagaceae.